GAUGAACGCUGGCGGCGCGCCUAACACAUGCAAGUCGAACGAUUAAAGCACCUUCGGGUGUGUAUAAAGUGGCGAACGGCUGAGUAACACGUGGGCAACCUGCCCCUCUCAUUGGGAUAGCCACGGGAAACCGUGGAUAAUACCGAAUACUUCGGGACUUCCGCAUGGAAGACUCGAGAAAGCUCCGGCGGAGAGGGAUGGGCCCGCGGCCUGUCAGCUUGUUGGUGGGGUAAUGGCCUACCAAGGCAAUGAUGGGUAGCUGGGUUGAGAGACCGACCAGCCAGAUUGGGACUGAGAGACGGCCCAGACUCCUACGGGAGGCAGCAGUGGGGAAUCUUGCACAAUGGGCGAAAGCCUGAUGCAGCGACGCCGCGUGCGGGAUGAAGGCCUUCGGGUUGUAAACCGCUUUCAGCAGGGACGAGGCGAAAGUGACGGUACCUGCAGAAGAAGCCCCGGCUAACUACGUG
RNAcentral lists this ribosomal RNA (467 nucleotides) under uncultured bacterium. Its description in RNAcentral is "partial 16S ribosomal RNA". It matches the Rfam family "Bacterial small subunit ribosomal RNA", at positions 28 to 507 of the family's 1533-position model. The record is from RNAcentral.